This 222-nucleotide ribosomal RNA is filed under the name uncultured bacterium. RNAcentral's name for it is "partial 16S ribosomal RNA". It matches the Rfam family "Bacterial small subunit ribosomal RNA", at positions 978 to 1195 of the family's 1533-position model. The record is from RNAcentral.
AAGGCUUGACAUGGGGAAGACUGGACGAGAGAUCGUCCUUCUCUAGCAAUAGAGCUUCCCACACAGGUGCUGCAUGGCUGUCGUCAGCUCGUGUCGUGAGAUGUUGGGUUAAGUCCCGCAACGAGCGCAACCCCCGUUUCUAGUUGCCAUCAUUCAGUUGGGCCCUCUAGAGAGACUGCCGCGAAUAACGCGGAGGAAGGUGGGGACGACGUCAAGUCAUCA